RNAcentral lists this ribosomal RNA (446 nucleotides) under uncultured bacterium. RNAcentral describes it as "bacterial SSU rRNA". It matches the Rfam family "Bacterial small subunit ribosomal RNA", at positions 329 to 792 of the family's 1533-position model. The record is from RNAcentral.
GUCCAGACUCCUACGGGAGGCAGCAGUGGGGAAUAUUGCACAAUGGGGGAAACCCUGAUGCAGCGACGCCGCGUGAAGGAAGAAGUAUUUCGGUAUGUAAACUUCUAUCAGCAGGGAAGAAAAUGACGGUACCUGACUAAGAAGCCCCGGCUAACUACGUGCCAGCAGCCGCGGUAAUACGUAGGGGGCAAGCGUUAUCCGGAUUUACUGGGUGUAAAGGGAGCGUAGACGGUUAUGUAAGUCUGGAGUGAAAGCCCGGGGCCCAACCCCGGGACUGCUUUGGAAACUGUGUAACUGGAGUACAGGAGGGGCAGGCGGAAUUCCUGGUGUAGCGGUGAAAUGCGUAGAUAUCAGGAGGAACACCGGCGGCGAAGGCGGCCUGCUGGACUGAAACUGACGUUGAGGCUCGAAAGCGUGGGGAGCAAACAGGAUUAGAUACCCUAGUA